Molecule: unclassified non-coding RNA, 1136 nt
Filed under: Helichrysum zeyheri
Lineage: Eukaryota; Viridiplantae; Streptophyta; Magnoliopsida; Asterales; Asteraceae
Description: contains 5' external transcribed spacer, ETS
Source: RNAcentral
GUUGCGUCACGGGUCGAUUUAAUCAUGACUUAUGAGUGACAAUAUACUCGAUGUUGAAGGCAUUGUAACCCAACAAGUGGGGAGUUCGAUUUGGUUGGGACAAAUCGAAUGAUCUGCGGUAGCAUCAACAAGGACGUGGUGUGGGAUCACAGCACGGGUCAAUUUAAUCNCGACUUUGUGCAAGUUGUUCCAUGCCGUGAUGUUGUUGUUACUUUGUGAUGUUGAUGAGAUGUGGGAAAUGUAGUGGUGAUGUCAAGUUGUUUGGGGAUCUUAGAUUAACUUUGAUCUUAGUUUUAUUCUUAACUAGCAUCUUCAUGAGGUCUGCACUAUCAGUCUGAUUGUAUGGCAUGCUGUUGUGUGAUUGUUGCCUUACGAUCAGAUUGUUGGUGUAACCGAUGACAUGAUUUGGCAGGUUAAUCUUAAAGCUGUGGAUGACAACUUGAUGUUGUUUCGUUUGUUGAUGAAUGAACGUCGUAGAAUGAUGAUCUGCGUUGUUGUUGAUGACAUUCGUCUCGAGGUGAUGUGGUGUCAUGUUGCCUGUGUAUCCUGGUUUUGAGUUAUUGAGCUUAAAACAUGUGGAUUAUCGGUUAGUGAUACGGCAUCGCUCCCUUGGUUGAUGAAAGUCAUCCAAUGAUGCGGUUUAUUUGUUCGUUUUCUUCUCGCAUCGCUCGGUGCAUUCUGGGGUCAUUUUGGCUAUUUGCAGCUUGCUUAGCAAUUGAGCUUGGUGGGUUGCUACUAGUUGGGUGUCUUCGGGGAUGUCUAUCGGAAAGGUGCAUGAGUGGUGUUUGGUUUGUUACGGGUGGUUGGCUCUUUGCUUGCGCAACAACUUCUACCCGGCAUACCUCUUCAGUCUUGUGUCAAUGCUUGUAUUGCAUUGAAUCCACGACAGGUUUCUUGUUUUGCAUGCCUAACUAAUGGUAACGCUUGAUGAAUUGGAUUUCCUUUCGUCUUGCGUCGCCUAUGCGAUGUGAGAUGAACCUUGAGGUAGCCUCUGUGAUCCACUCUUUUGAUGCAUACGCGUUGAUUUUGUGGCCCAUUGAGUGUUGCUUGGUCUCAUGGAUAUGGAACCUGGAGUGGGCAUGGAAUCUUAAUGGUUCCUUGAUUGCCCAAGUUUAGCUUUUCUAAAACGAUUGUCU